This 497-nucleotide ribosomal RNA is filed under the name uncultured bacterium. RNAcentral's name for it is "partial 16S ribosomal RNA". It matches the Rfam family "Bacterial small subunit ribosomal RNA", at positions 28 to 507 of the family's 1533-position model. The record is from RNAcentral.
GAUGAACGCUGGCGGCGUGCCUAAUACAUGCAAGUCGAGCGAACGGACGAGAAGCUUGCUUCUCUGAUUUUAGCGGCGGACGGGUGAGUAACACGUGGAUAACCUACCUAUAAGACUGGGAUAACUUCGGGAAACCGGAGCUAAUAACGGAUAAUAUUUUGAACCGCAUGGUUCCAAAGUGAAAGACGGUCUUGCUGUCACUUAUAGAUGGAUCCGCGCUGCAUUAGCUAGUUGGUAAGGUAACGGCUUAGCAAGGCAACGAUGCAUAGCCGACCUGAGAGGGUGAUCGGCCACCCUGGAACUGAGACACGGUCCAGACUCCUACGGGAGGCAGCAGUAGGGAAUCUUCCGCAAUGGGCGAAAGCCUGACGGAGCAACGCCGCGUGAGUGCUGAAGGUCUUCGGAUCGUAAAACUCUGUUAUUAGGGAAGAACAAAUGUGUAAGUAACUGUGAACAUCUUGACGGUACCUAAUCAGAAAGCCACGGCUAACUCCGUG